GAGUUUGAUCAUGGCUCAGGACGAACGCUGGCGGCGUGCCUAACACAUGCAAGUCGAACGAAGCUUUUGAUUUCGGUUGAGAGCUUAGUGGCGGACGGGUGAGUAACGCGUGAGUAACCUGCCUUACAGAGGGGGAUAACGUCUGGAAACGGACGCUAAUACCGCAUGACAUUUCUUUAUCACAUGGUAAAGAAAUCAAAGGAGCAAUCCGCUGUAAGAUGGACUCGCGUCCGAUUAGCUAGAUGGUGAGAUAACAGCCCACCAUGGCGACGAUCGGUAGCCGGACUGAGAGGUUGAACGGCCACAUUGGGACUGAGACACGGCCCAGACUCCUACGGGAGGCAGCAGUGGGGGAUAUUGCACAAUGGAGGAAACUCUGAUGCAGCAACGCCGCGUGAAGGAUGAAGGUCUUCGGAUUGUAAACUUUUGUACUUGGGGACGAUAAUGACGGUACCCAAGCAGCAAGCUCCGGCUAACUACGUGCCAGCAGCCGCGGUAAUACGUAGGGAGCAAGCGUUGUCCGGAUUUACUGGGUGUAAAGGGUGCGUAGGCGGCUAUGCAAGUCAGUUGUGAAAACUAUGGGCUCAACCCAUAGCCUGCAAUUGAAACUGCGUGGCUUGAGUGAAGUAGAGGUAGGUGGAAUUCCCGGUGUAGCGGUGAAAUGCGUAGAGAUCGGGAGGAACACCAGUGGCGAAG
RNAcentral lists this ribosomal RNA (696 nucleotides) under uncultured Ethanoligenens sp. RNAcentral describes it as "bacterial SSU rRNA". It matches the Rfam family "Bacterial small subunit ribosomal RNA", at positions 9 to 720 of the family's 1533-position model. Lineage: Bacteria; Bacillati; Bacillota; Clostridia; Eubacteriales; Oscillospiraceae. The record is from RNAcentral.